Long non-coding RNA from Megalops cyprinoides (Indo-Pacific tarpon), 309 nucleotides. RefSeq lists it as uncharacterized. The transcript is spliced from 3 exons. Lineage: Eukaryota; Metazoa; Chordata; Actinopteri; Elopiformes; Megalopidae. The record is from RefSeq and is a predicted model, not a curated record.
GCAUAAACGCACAAACGACAAUCUCACCUCGGAAGUGACUCUGUUGGGAGAACAGAUCAAGGUGCUGUGCCUGAACUUGAGUCAAACAUACAGCCAAUGGACCUUGUGCAAGGCUUUACAUAAUAAUGCUGAAAACCAGAGGAGAGAAGCAGAGAAAGCGAGAAAUACCUGCAUGGCAAACAACAAAUAUCUACAACAACUUUUUUCUAACUGCAGUCAAGAGUGCAUCACUGAAGGCCACUAUGCCCUGAAACACACUGAUGGUAGAGGUUCCUGCCAUCAGUCAGGUUCUGAGGUCCAGUUCUCCUG